UAACAGUUUAGGCACACACUUUUCCCUUUUCCCUAAUGCAGGUAACAGUUUAGGUACACACUUUUCCCUAAUGCAGGUAACAGUUUAGGCACACACUUUUCCCUUUCCCUAAUGCAGGUAACAGUUUAGGUACACACUUUUCCCUUUCCCUAAUGCAGGUAACAGUUUAGGUACACACUUUUCCCUUUUCCCUAAUGCAGGUAACAGUUUAGGCACACACUUUUCC
Molecule: long non-coding RNA, 226 nt
Organism: Oncorhynchus keta (chum salmon)
Lineage: Eukaryota; Metazoa; Chordata; Actinopteri; Salmoniformes; Salmonidae
Exons: 3
Source: RefSeq, a predicted model, not a curated record